GUGAAAGCGGAGCUUGCUCUGCUGGAUCAGUGGCGAACGGGUGAGUAACACGUGAGCAAUCUGCCCCUGACUCUGGGAUAAGCGCUGGAAACGGCGUCUAAUACCGGAUACGAGCUGCGAAGGCAUCUUCAGCAGCUGGAAAGAAUUUCGGUCAGGGAUGAGCUCGCGGCCUAUCAGCUUGUUGGUGAGGUAACGGCUCACCAAGGCGUCGACGGGUAGCCGGCCUGAGAGGGUGACCGGCCACACUGGGACUGAGACACGGCCCAGACUCCUACGGGAGGCAGCAGUGGGGAAUAUUGCACAAUGGGCGAAAGCCUGAUGCAGCAACGCCGCGUGAGGGACGACGGCCUUCGGGUUGUAAACCUCUUUUAGCAGGGAAGAAGCGAAAGUGACGGUACCUGCAGAAAAAGCGCCGGCUAACUACGUGCCAGCAGCCGCGGUAAUACGUAGGGCGCAAGCGUUAUCCGGAAUUAUUGGGCGUAAAGAGCUCGUAGGCGGUUUGUCGCGUCUGCUGUGAAAACCCGAGGCUCAACCUCGGGCCUGCAGUGGGUACGGGCAGACUAGAGUGCGGUAGGGGAGAUUGGAAUUCCUGGUGUAGCGGUGGAAUGCGCAGAUAUCAGGAGGAACACCGAUGGCGAAGGCAGAUCUCUGGGCCGUAACUGACGCUGAGGAGCGAAAGGGUGGGGAGCAAACAGGCUUAGAUACCCUGGUAGUCCACCCCGUAAACGUUGGGAACUAGUUGUGGGGACCAUUCCACGGUUUCCGUGACGCAGCUAACGCAUUAAGUUCCCCGCCUGGGGAGUACGGCCGCAAGGCUAAAACUCAAAGGAAUUGACGGG
This 839-nucleotide ribosomal RNA is filed under the name Microbacterium schleiferi. RNAcentral describes it as "bacterial SSU rRNA". It matches the Rfam family "Bacterial small subunit ribosomal RNA", at positions 68 to 917 of the family's 1533-position model. Lineage: Bacteria; Bacillati; Actinomycetota; Actinomycetes; Micrococcales; Microbacteriaceae. The record is from RNAcentral.